AUUGAACGCUGGCGGCAGGCCUAACACAUGCAAGUCGAGCGGAGCGGCGGACGGGUGCGUAAUGCCUAGGAAUCUGCCUGGUAGAGGGGGAUAACGUCCGGAAACGGGCGCUAAUACCGCAUACUAUCAGAUGAGCCUAGGUAGGUUUAGCUAGUUGGUGGGGUAACGGCCUACAAAGUCAACGAUCCGUCACUGGUCUGAGAGGAUGAUCAGUCAAACUGGAACUGUGACACGGUCCAGACUCCAACGGGAGGCAGCAGAGGGGAAGAUUGGCAAAUGGGGGAAAGCCUGAUCCAGCCAUGCCGCGGGUGUGAAGAGGGUCUUCGGAUUGUAAAGCACGUUCAGUUGGGAGGCGUUACCUACAGAAUAAGCACCGGCUAACUUCGUGCCAGCAGCCGCGGUAAUUC
This 407-nucleotide ribosomal RNA is filed under the name uncultured bacterium. RNAcentral's name for it is "partial 16S ribosomal RNA". It matches the Rfam family "Bacterial small subunit ribosomal RNA", at positions 30 to 526 of the family's 1533-position model. The record is from RNAcentral.